AAUAUUGCAAAAUGGGGAUAACCCUGAUGCAGCAACGCCGCGUGAGCGAUGAAUGAAAUAGGGUCGUACAGCACUUUCCUAAGAGAAAAUAAUGACGGUACCCUAGGAGGAACACCUGGCCAACUACGUGCCAGAAGCCGCGGUAAUACGUAGGGGGCAAGCGUUAUCCGGAAUCAUUGGGCGUAAAGGGUGCGUAGGCUGCCCUAUAGGUCAGAGGUCAAAGGCUACGGCUCAACCGUAGUAAGCCUUUGAAACUGUAGGGCUUGAGUGCAGGAGAGGAGAGUGGAAUUCCUAGUGUAGCGGUGAAAUGCGUAGAUAUUAGGAGGAACACCAGUGGCGAAGGCGACUCUCUGGACUGCAACUGACGCUGAGGCACGAAAGCGUGGGUAGCGAACA
RNAcentral lists this ribosomal RNA (396 nucleotides) under uncultured bacterium. Its description in RNAcentral is "partial 16S ribosomal RNA". It matches the Rfam family "Bacterial small subunit ribosomal RNA", at positions 360 to 774 of the family's 1533-position model. The record is from RNAcentral.